GUAAGAUGCAUAGGGGUAUUUGUCGAGCUGGAACUAACGGUUGUUACAAUUGUGGCCAAAAAGGUCACUACUCCACGCAAUGCCCCAACAGACAACGAGGUUCAGCAAUUGGGAACACCCGCACCCCCUUGCCAGCAAUACGUGGACACUUGCGAAAUCAGCCUCAAUCACAUCAGUGAAAAUCUUAUGGAAACACCGCAGACAAGAGAAGUUACGCGGGAACUUGAAGACAAGAUGAAGGAAAAAUACCCCGAACUGUUUUAGCAGAGAUAUGCAAAUUUCGGGACGAAAUUUUUGUUAAGAGGGGUAGUAUGUAGUAGCCCGC
Molecule: long non-coding RNA, 325 nt
Filed under: Salvia miltiorrhiza (redroot sage)
Lineage: Eukaryota; Viridiplantae; Streptophyta; Magnoliopsida; Lamiales; Lamiaceae
Description: long non-coding RNA (SMIL_LNC004209)
Source: RNAcentral